AUAAUUGCAUAUGACUUCUUUCGUAUAACCUUAAUAAUUGGAUUAAGGGUCUCUACUUAGAAACCGUAAAUUUCUAGCUACGAAAAAUGUGCUGCAGAUG
This 100-nucleotide non-coding RNA is filed under the name Paenibacillus pectinilyticus. Its description in RNAcentral is "Guanine sequence". It matches the Rfam family "Purine riboswitch aptamer". From Rfam's summary of the family: Riboswitches are metabolite binding domains within certain messenger RNAs that serve as precision sensors for their corresponding targets. Lineage: Bacteria; Bacillati; Bacillota; Bacilli; Caryophanales; Paenibacillaceae. The record is from Rfam by way of RNAcentral.